Molecule: long non-coding RNA, 363 nt
Filed under: Trifolium pratense (red clover)
Lineage: Eukaryota; Viridiplantae; Streptophyta; Magnoliopsida; Fabales; Fabaceae
Description: long non-coding RNA (TPRA_LNC000920)
Source: RNAcentral
GUGUGGUUUAUUCAACAAAUAAGUGAAGAACGUGAUCACUAUUGGUAUCGGUUUAGCAAUUUCAAGCACAUUCCAAAGCUGAACCAAAUUCAAAGUUGUGGCAAAUUCUUUUACCUUAAUUUCAUUAAAGCCAAUGUUGAAUAUGGUUUUUUUUUUGUUAGCAAUGUCACCAGUGCAGAUUGAUGACAUAGAUAUAGUUUCUUUGUGUUCACAGUAGUAUAUUGAAUUUGAUAGACAUAGCUCUUUUGGUUUUUACACAAUGUUGAAUAUGGUUUCUUUGUUUUUUGCUGUUUAAAGAAGUUGAUUUGUGACUGUAUGAUGAUAUCAUAACAUUUGUUCUUAUGUAAGUGGCAUUUUUCGUUC